This 50-nucleotide transfer RNA is filed under the name Ophioplinthus brevirima. Its description in RNAcentral is "tRNA-Leu". Lineage: Eukaryota; Metazoa; Echinodermata; Ophiuroidea; Amphilepidida; Ophiuridae. The record is from RNAcentral.
AAGAUAGCCGAUAACUAACUUUUAGCUAGUUCAAAUCUAGCUCUAUCUUU